This 448-nucleotide ribosomal RNA is filed under the name uncultured organism. RNAcentral describes it as "partial 16S ribosomal RNA". It matches the Rfam family "Bacterial small subunit ribosomal RNA", at positions 333 to 797 of the family's 1533-position model. The record is from RNAcentral.
ACACUCCUGCGGGAGGCAGCAGUGGGGAAUAUUGGACAAUGGGCGCAAGCCUGAUCCAGCCAUGCCGCGUGAGUGAUGAAGGCCCUAGGGUUGUAAAGCUCUUUCACCGGUGAAGAUAAUGACGGUAACCGGAGAAGAAGCCCCGGCUAACUUCGUGCCAGCAGCCGCGGUAAUACGAAGGGGGCUAGCGUUGUUCGGAUUUACUGGGCGUAAAGCGCACGUAGGCGGACUAUUAAGUCAGGGGUGAAAUCCCGGGGCUCAACCCCGGAACUGCCUUGGAUACUGGUAGUCUUGAGUUCGAGAGAGGUGAGUGGAAUUCCGAGUGUAGAGGCGAAAUUCGUAGAUAUUCGGAGGAACACCAGUGGCGAAGGCGGCUCACUGGCUCGAUACUGACGCUGAGGUGCGAAAGCGUGGGGAGCAAACAGGAUUAGAAACCCUUGUAGUCCCA